CAGCCGCCGCGGGAAUACAGAGGAUGCAAGCGUUAUCCGGAAUGAUUGGGCGUAAAGCGUCUGUAGGUGGCUUUUCAAGUCCGCCGUCAAGUCCCAGGGCUCAACCCUGGACAGGCGAUGGAAACUACCAAGCUGGAUUACGGUAGGGGCAGAGGGAAUGUCCGGUGGAGCGGUGAAAUGCGUUGAGAUCGGAAAGAGCACCAACGACAAAAGCAUUCUGUUGGGCCGAAACUGACACUGAGAGACGAAAGCUAGGGGAGCAAAUGGGAUUAGAUACCCCCGUAGUCCCUGUCUCUUAUAC
RNAcentral lists this ribosomal RNA (301 nucleotides) under uncultured bacterium. RNAcentral's name for it is "partial 16S ribosomal RNA". It matches the Rfam family "Bacterial small subunit ribosomal RNA", at positions 509 to 807 of the family's 1533-position model. The record is from RNAcentral.